AAGGGAAAUCAGCGAGGGUCUAGAAGAAAAAAAGAAGAAAGGGUUUCGGAGGGGUUGGUAGAGAGAAACCGAGAGAGGAGGAAGAGAGUUUGAGGGGAGCGGAGGAAACAAAGGAAAAAAGGAGAAAACAAGCAAGAGGGUUGGAAGGGAAGGUUGCGAGGAAGAGCAAGAGAGAGUCUGGGGCUGAGGGAGAGAAAGAAAGCAAAAGAAAAGAGAGAGGCUUCACGGAGAAGAAAAUAGCUACAGGCAGGUUGAAUCGAAGCUCAAAAUAACGAACGCGUCACUACUGGAAAUUGCUGCAACAAAGAAAAGAGGGUUUUCUGACUUCCUUCCAUAGAUCUGCACAGCUUCCAUCGAUUUCCCAGGGUUUUGUCUCUGUAAGUAUAUCAUUUAAGCCAUAUUCUGAACCUUUUGAGGCUUACCAGACGUGAAUCUUUGCUAUGGAUAAGCUCUUGCUGGUACCACUGCUUCUACCUCUUGUUUGGUGGAUGAUUUUUGAUUUUGGUAGGGGUCCUUAGGAUGAAUUUUGUAAGAAAACGGGUUUGGGGUUUUCUAUAGAUUUUUUAUCUAAUGAGUCCGUGGGGUUUUGCUUGAGUCAUGGCUGUUUUGUGAUUGAAAACGACAAACCCAGAAAAUUGCAGAAAUUUCUUGCUGAAGAUUUGCAUGCUUGGAUGAUCGAAUAUGGCCAAAUAAUAUAAAGUUAAGAUGGAACCAUGUUUCAUGGUUAUUGUUAAAGCUCUUGUCCGUACAUGCUGUAUAGUAUAAAGUUAAGAUGGAACAGUUUUGUGCUUCUUGUCCAACGUGUUGUCGAUGCGGCCCUAAAGAUUGUUUCUUGAUGCGGCUUCAUGUUUAGGCUUAAUGCUUCGGUCUUCAUGAUCUAUUGUUUUUAUUGCAUAUGAAUCUAUGGAUCCCACCAUGAUGGACAUGUCUUCAUGAAGCUUUCAUACUCACAAUUGUUUACAUUAGACAUGUUACGGUUAUCAUGUUGUUGCACAAGUUAUCAUAGGACCCACAUGUUUUAUAUGUUAAAGGUACCAUUCAUGUUUACUUGGGGCCUGUGCAUAGUCUUCGUGACUUGUUCUUGUUUAAGAGCCAAUAUGUAUAUAUUUAUGUUAAAGAAAUUAGGGUUUACUUAAUUUAAGUGAAUCAUAAUAAAGUUAAAUAGGACAUUUAAGCCCUAUAAAAUCCAUAUGUGUGGCCCAUUAAAUAUGUAGUUUUUAUAAAGUACUUAUGGAUUUCAAGAAAAUUUUUGGGCUUGAAUGUUAAUUUUGGGUCAAAUUAUGGAUAUGGACCUUUGGUCCAAUAGGUCAUGAUUUAAUUUGAUUGAUUUGACCAUGUUUGACCAUGUUUAGACCAAAGUUGACCAAAGUUGACUUUGAUCAAAAUUUUUAUUUAAUUUGGAUAAUUUUAAAUUCGAAUAUCGGUAUUAAUAUAUAUAUUUUGGAAUAAAUUAAUUGAAAUAAUAUGUCACCAAAGUGACCUCUAUUAUGGAAAUUAAUUUAUUUUAAAAUAUAACUAGUUGGGUACUUGUAAUUUUAUGAAUAUUGAUCGACCCAAAGGAAGGUCAAUAUUUAAUGAAAUUACAUGUGCACUUGUGGUAAUAAAUACGUGAUAAUUAUUUGGAUUUUACAUGUGAUUUAUAAAUUGGCCCAAAGAAAAACUUAUUUUUGACAUGUUAUUAUUAUCAGUAUUUAUUACUACACCAAAAUAUCACUUAGAAGCUAAUAUUUUUGUCCAAAGAUAAAAUAUUAAUGGAAUAUCGGUAUCUUGAGAUGAGACUACCAUUAUUUGAAUUUAUUAUUGUAUUGAUUUAUGUGAGCUUGUUUUAAUUAUAUUAUGUUUUCUGUUCAGUUGCGAAUGAUCUUACAAAUAUCACUUCCAAUAUCAAUAAUAUUCCUAUGUUGAAUAGCACAAACUUCAAGCUCUGGAAAGAAAAUCUCUUGAUAGUACUUGGAAUAAUGGAUCUCAAUCUUGCGUUAAGGGAUGAUUCUCCCCCACCUCUUACAGAUCAGAGUACCUCUGAUGAAAAGAGAAAUAAUGAGAGGUGGGAGAGAUCAAAUCGCUUGUGUUUGAUGAUCAUUAAAAAGGCCGUUCCAAAAGCAUUCAGGGGAACAAUGUCAGAAACGACUGUAACCGCUAAAGAAUUCCUUCAGAACAUUGAAAAAAGGUUUGUCAAAAACGAAAAGGCUGAAGUUAAUAUACUCUUGACACGCUUAGUUUCAAUGAAAUAUAGUAGUAAAGGCAAUAUCAGAGAGUAUAUCAUGGAGAUGUCUCAUCUUGCUUCGAAAUUAAAUGCACUUAAGUUGAAACUCUCUGAAGAGUUACUAGUGCAUUUGAUUUUAAUAUCUCUUCCUACACAGUUUAGCCAGUUUAAGGUGAGUUACAACUGUCAAAAGGAGACUUGGUCUCUAAAUGAACUCAUCUCACACUGUGUAGAGGAAGAGAAAAUAUUGAAGCAAGAGGAGACAGAAAGUGCCCAUCUGGUGUCAACCACUAAUAAUAAUAAAAGUAAGGGAUUUAAGAGAAAGAAAGAAAAAGGAGCUGCAGGUACAGCGUCACAAAAGAAAUCAAAUGAUCAGGGAAAGAAUAGUUGUUUCUUCUGUGGAGUUGAAGGGCAUCAAAAGAAGCAUUGCACAAACUAUCACGCUUGACGUGCUAAGAAAUGUAUGCUUCUUAAUUUGGUUUGUUUUGAAUUUAAUUUAACUUCGGUACCUAGACACAUAUGGUGGUUAGAUUCUGGUGCAACAACUCACAUCAGUGUGUCUAUACAGAGUUGCCUGAAUUGCCGAAAGCCUAAUGAUAAUGAAAGAUAUAUCUACGUGGGCGAUGACAAAACAGUUCAAGUUGAGACAAUUAGAGUUUUUAGAUUAAUGUUAAAAAUCAGAUUUUAUUUGGAUCUCUAUGAGACAUUUGUUGUACCGUCUUUUAGACGGAAUUUAAUUUCUAUUUCUGCUUUGGAUAAAUUUGGUUAUUUUUGUUUAUUUGAAAAUGGAAAAUUUGAAUUGUUUCAUGAUUCAAAAUUGGUUGGUUCUGGUUCUUUAAUGCACUACGAUAAUCUAUAUUUAAUUGAUACAAUUGCCUCAUUUAAUGAAUCUCUGCAUUUGAGUACUAGAGGAAUAAAGAGAAAAUUAACCAAUGAGAAUUCAGCUGCAUUAUGGCACAAGAUAUUGGGACAUAUCUCCAAACAGAGAAUGGAAAGGCUUGUGUCAAAUGAAAUUCUCGACCCCUUGAAUUUUACAGAUUUUAAUGAUUGUAUUAAUUGUAUAAAGGGGAAACAAACUAAUAAAAGGAGAUUUGAAACCAAUAGAUCCUCAGACGUCUUAGAACUUAUACAUACAGAUAUUUGUGGACCAUUUUCUACAUCUGCUUGGAAUGGUCAACAAUAUUUUAUAACGUUCAUAGACGAUUUUUCAAGAUAUGACUACAUAUAUCUCAUUUCAGAAAAGUCACAGUCAUUGGACGUGUUCAAAAAUUUUAAGGCUGAAGUUGAGAAUCAACUCAAUAAAAGAAUUAAAAGCGUCAGAUCUGACCGUGGUGGUGAGUACUAUGGUAGAUGUGACGGUUCAGGUGAACAACGUCCAGGACCAUUUGCUAAAUACCUAGAGGAGUGCGGUAUCGUCCCACAGUAUACUAUACCGGGUUCACCCACUAUGAAUGGUGUAGUUGAAAGAUGAAAUAAAACACUUAAAGACAUGGUAAGGAGUAUGAUAUAUCAUUCUACCUUACCAGAAUCACUCUGGGGUGAAGCACUUAAGACUGCAGCAUAUAUUCUUAAUAGAGUUCCAACUAAAGCAACUAUCAAAACCCCUUAGGAGUUUUGGAUAGAAAAAAAAUCCAGUUUAAAGCAUAUGCAUGUUUGGGGGUGUCCAGUUGAGGCAAGGUCUUAUAGGCCAAAUAAAAAGAAACUGAAUUCAAAAACAGUUAGUUGCUAUUUUAUUGGAUAUUCUGAAAGAUCCAGAAAUUACAAGUUUUAUGAUCCCACAACUAAAUCAAAUUUUGAGACAGGAAAUGCCCGAUUCUUUGAGGAUGUCGAGUUUGGGGGAGAAAAUACAGUAAGGGACAUUGUCUUUAAAGAGAACUAUAUUAAUAUUCCCACAGGUGUCAUUGAUCUUGUUCAGGAUUCUAUUCCUGAACAAGAUCAUGACAUGACAAAUCAAGACAAUGUCGAAGAACAAAUUGUUAUAGAAAUUCAAACUCUCUCUCUCCAAGAAUCAGUGCCAUUAAGAAGAUCCAUCAGAGAAAUGAGAAGUGCAGUGUCAGAUGAUUACAUUGUAUUUCUCCAAGAACAUGAGGAUGACAUUGGAUUGAUGGAAGAUGAUCCAAUCAACUUCCGUCAAACAAUGGAAAGUUCAAAUUCUCAAAAGUGGAUCGAUGCCAUGAAUAAGGAGAUUAAAUCCAUGAAAGACAAUGAUGUUUGGGAUCUUGUCCCAUUGCCAGAAGGUGCGAAACUCAUUGGUUGUAAAUGAAUAUUUAAAAUCAAGAGGAAUUCGAAAGGUAAUGUGGAAAGAUAUAAAGCUCGUCUUGUCGUUAAGGGAUUUACACAAAAAGAAGGUAUCGACUAUAAAGAAACCUUCUUUUCAGUCUCUUCAAAUGACUCUUUUAGAAUCAUCAUGGCACUAGUGGCGCAUUUCGAUCUUGAAUUACAUCAGAUGGAUUUAAAGACAGCGUUUCUCAAUGGUAACAUUGAUGAGACGAUUUAUAUGGUGCAACUAGAAAACUUUGUAUCAGGAGAUCCAAAGAAUAUGGUUUGCAAACUUAAAAAAUUCAUCUAUGGGUUCAAACAAGCGUCUCGACAGUGGUAUUUCAAAUUUCAUCAAGUGAUCAUCUCAUUUGGUUUUGAGAUGAAUUUAGUAGAUGAUUGCAUAUACCAUAAGUUCUGUGAGAGCAAGUAUAUUUUUCUGGUAUUAUAUGUUGAUGACAUUUUGCUUGCCAGCAACGAUAUUGGUCUAUUGCAUGAAACCAAGAAAUUUCUGACUAAGAAUUUUGAGAUGAAAGAUCUUGGUGAUGCAUCUUUUGUGCUAGGUAUACAAAUACACCGAAAUCGAUUUCAAGGUAUUUUAGGACUAUCACAAAAAGGUUAUAUCGAAAAGGUUCUCAAAAGGUAUGGCAUGCAAAAUUGUAAAUCAGGUGACACUCUCGUAGCUAAAGGAAACAAAUUUAGUCUUGAGCAGUGUCCUAAGAAUGCUUUUGAGGAAAAAGAGAUGCAAAAGAUUCCUUAUGCGUCAGCAGUAGGGAGUCUAAUGUAUGUUCAAGUAUGUACGCGUCCGGAUAUUGUGUACAUUACUGGAAUGUUGGGUAGAUAUUUAAGUAAUCCAGGAUUAGAUCAUUGGAAAGCAACCAAACGGGUCUUACGGUAUUUACAGAAAACAAAAGAUUACAUGCUCACGUAUCGGAAGUCAAAUGAGUUAGAGAUCGUUGGGUAUACUGAUUCCGAUUAUACUGGAUACCAAGAUACUAUGAAGUCAACGUCAGGCUAUGUGUACUUGUUGGCUAAAGGUACUAUAUCCUGGAAGAGUGCUAAACAGUCCCUCAUAACAUCUUCCACUAUGGCUGCAGAGUUUAUAGCUUGUUAUGAGACAUCCAACCAAGGAAUUUGGCUACGAAAUUUUGUCACAGGAUUAUGUGUAGUGGAUAGUAUUGAAAAACCACUCAAAUUAUUUUGUGACAACAAGUCAGCAGUUCUAUAUUCCAAUAAUAACAGAAGCUCGACGAAAUCUAAACAUAUAGAUAUCAAGUUCCCGUCUGUUAAAGAAAGAGUACAGAGUGGACAGUUAUUGAUUGAGCAUAUCAGGACAAACUCCAUGGUUGUGCAUCCGCUUACUAAGGGAUUGCCACCCAAAAUGUUUCAUGAGCAUACUGCUAGUAUGGGUGUCAUAUUGAUAAAUAAUGUACAGUUUUUAGUGGGAGUUUGAUAUUUUAAAUGCUCUUGUGAUACGUUUCGGUUAUUAAUGAUUUAAGGAUAUUUUAUGCAUAAAUAAAGUUUGAAUUUAUUUACACUCUGAUUUUGGUAUGGUUUGAUCUCAUAAAAUUUUAAGGUGGACCAGUUGCAAAUAGGCAUGUUUUGAUCACAUUACAUGAAAUUUUCAUGCUACACAUCCACAUCAUGAUUCAUGUCAUUCAAUUACAUUGAUAUAUGUGACCAUUGAUGGGUCGAGUUACGAAAUUGUGACAAAGGCCGCUUUGAUCCUAUAUUGGUGUGAUUGAUAGAUCGAAUUGGCUACAGAUACAUUUUAGUAAUGACAGUAAAGUUGAGCUCAUAUGGUUAAUUGCGAAACAUAAUUAUAAGGUUACACAUAUAGUCCAAGUGGGAGAUUGUUGGAUCCUUAAUCCAACAUUAGACUUAUAUGUGAAUAAUUAUGGGUUGCAAACUGUCAAAUAAAGUUAAGUCCAAUUAAAGUGAUCAAAUAUGGUUUGGACUUAAUAUAUCUAAUAGGAUGUGGGCUUUUAAUGUGUAGAAAUUUAAGGGCUCCUAUUUCUAUGAUGGGCUGAAAUAGGGCUCCAAAAGGUAACAGGAGUAUUACCUAUAAAUAGGGUUAUGGUCCCCAAAUCACACGUAUCAUUUUUUAUCGUAUUUUCUAGUACCACAAUAUACAGCCCUUUCCUGAUAUCCCAUCGUCAGGAAAGAUACCAGAGAGAAACUAAAGGACUCUCUCAAGAAUUGGCAAAUACAUGUUGACCUGGAAGGCCACUCCAAAAUCUUUAAGGAUUCAAGUGCCAGUUUGUUAACAUGACUUCAGGUACGCUUCCGCAUUUAUAUUACAGUUAUAUUCAAAUAUCUUAUAUUGGGAUUCUAGAAAUCUUACACGAAUUUCUAUGUCUUUGUUGCUUAAGAUCCAAGUUUGAUAUUUGAUUGAGGCUCUAGUUGUGUUUAGCAAAGAGAACUUGCAUCAUAAAUCCACGGAGUUGCAGAAAACGAAGAAACCAGAGAAGAAGAUGAAAUCUUGCGAGCCAUUUGCAUGAAAGUUCCAAAACAUUACAUUUUGGCCCCAGAAUUUUGGUUGAAUACUACUAUAGCCCAGAAAAUUGGAAAAAUUAAUCAAUCUUGUCCCUUCAAAACAUUAUUUUUCCAUGGCAUAUUUUUAUGUGAUUUUUAGAUAGAUUAUUGGUGAAUUUUAGGAUGAAUUUUGAAGUUUAACAAUUUUUGAUAGAUUUAUAGCUUUUGAUUUGGAUUUUUGUAAAAAUGGUUUAGACUUGGGUAAUAUUUUUUGUUUGGGGUUUGGUGGGAGGGUUUAGAUUUAUUAUUGUGAAUUUUAGCAUUUGAUUUUGGCAGGCUUCAUCUUAAGCCAUUAAUUUUAUUUUAUUUUAUUUUUACUUGAGACCCUUAAUAUUUGUAAUAAUAAUGAUUUAACCCCUCAAACUUUUAUAAUUGUUUCGAUUAGAAACCUGUUUGUUUUAAUUUCUUGAAUAUGGGUUGUUUAUUUUCAUUUAAAUGCUUUAACUGUUCAAUUUCAUGUUUAUUCCCAUCUUUUAUGAUUAUUUGUUAAUUAAAGUGGUACCUUAAUCAUUUUCUUUGUAUUGGAGGGUAAAAAGAGAGAAAUUUCACUUUAUUAGGUCACCAAUUCAAGGGAUGUAUACUGUACUCUUUAUUUUGAUCUUACUUGAUCCUAUGUGCCCCUAUGUGAUUUUAUGUGCAUAAUUGCAUGCCUUUGUAAAUGUUUUAUUUCAUUUAUUUAUUUAGUCACUUUAAUUGUUUUGAUUUAGUAUAUUUAUUUUAAUUUAAUGUUUGAUUAUUUAAGGGGCAUUUAAAUACCAAAUUGUAAUAGUUAGGGGGUUCAAGACAUGUAUUUAGAUAUAAUAUGUAAUAGUUAGAUAUUUAUUUUAUUCCUUCCCCCUUUAGAUUGUAGUUAGGGCCUCAAAUAUAAUAGUUAGGUCUUUAUUUGAUUUGUGUGUUUUGCAUGCUUAUGUGUUUACGUGUUACUCGCUUUUUUAGGGUCUUGCAUCUAGAUAUCAUGCUUAUAUGCUAUGUGCGCUAUGUGACUUAUAUGUUUACUUGCUUUUUAUUAGCUUUAUAUGAUUUGUGUAGUUCUAAUAAAUGUAUGACGUCACCACACUAGUCCAACGCUAGUUGUGGCCCUUUGUUCCAAUUUUCUACUAUUCCAACGCUAGUGAGAACUUAUAGACAUGAGUUAGUCCAACGCUAAACUCUUAGGGACCAUCCGCGCGCUAGAUCAUGUUUGUGUGACAAUCACUACAUUUGCAUGCAUAUUUUCUACCUUUUAGGGUUUUUAUCAUUUUGCAUGACAUUUCCCUUAUAUGUACAUCCCUUAUCUCAUACUCCCCCUAUAUAUCCCUUAUCCCAUAUCUCCCCUAUAUAUAUCCCUUAUUACCAUGUACGACACAUAACAUGUAGGUUUGCAUUCCAUUUAAGAAAAUUAGAACUAGUUUAGAUCAUUUGCUUGAUUAGAUAGGAGAAAUACCCCUCGAAUACGGGAUAUAGGCGAGUAUGGCUUUCUAGCCUUAGCACGCUCGUAUUCCCUCUAUAAAAGGGAAAAUUGAGUCAGGAACGUUAGCUCCCAUACCCAUUAUGAUGCAUUCCCUUAGGUCAUGUAUAUUUGUAUAUUAUUAUUAUUUACUUUCUUCGAGUCUCAUUUUGUUGCAUAUUCGUGACCUCUUCGAAAAAUCACUUUUGGGCGUCGCAAUUAAUGCGAUUUGCACCAAUUAAAAUUCAAAGAGACAUAUUGACCCUUCCGAUAUCCAUUAGGUUUAGGUUUACAUUCAUAUAGUAACAUCCAAAUGUGAUAAAUUUUUGGAUUAAAAUUAAGAAAAUUUUUGACUAAAUCACGCAACUAGUCUUGGUUAGGUUGAAAGGGUGCCUUGGAUUUUAUUUUUGCCUUCCCUUUCUUCAACCGUGACUCCCGACCUGUUUUCUCUACUUUUCAUUUAAAAUUCAUUUUUAGGUGAUUUGGUACAUCUUAACUCAAUACCAAGUGGCGACUUCUAUUUUUCAUUAAAAACCCUUUUUAAACUAUUAUUUUUGGGUCAAAAUCGUCGCACUUUUUAAGUCCCAUUUAGGCCCAUUUUCUUUAUUUAUUUUCUAAAAAUCAAAAACUCAUUUUCACUCAAAAUUAAUCGAAAACUCAUUUUAUAAACCCGUUAUUUUAUUUUUCUUUCAAUGGGGCGCGACAGCUUAGCGACUCCACUAGGGACUUUAGAGAGUCCGAGCAUUUGAUUUAGUCAAUUCUUUUCUUUUUCUAACCUUUUUAUAUAUCACAUUUAGAGGUUUUAGGUUGCAUUUUUUUCCUUUUUAGGGUUUUUUGCAUUUAACACGCGCAAUCAUAUCGAUAUUCGUGCAUGUGAUGAAUAAUGUGCUUAUUGUCUUUCAUUCAUUUAUAUAUCGCGCUUGCAUCUUGGGGGAGGGGGGAUAGCCACCCUAGAACCUUCACCCGCAUUUGAUGGUAUUUAAUCUCUCCCCUCAAAAGGAAGCACUUCAUACGUGCAUAUGUUUUACUUUAUACCCCUCAUUUCUUUUUUAACUUUUAGUGGUUGUCAUACCACUCUUCCCUAUUUAGUAUUAGGAUUGAUCCACUUGGACAUGUGGCCGUGGCAUGACGUGCGCGUAGCAAUGUCCGAGGGAUCACUUAAACCGCUGACUCUAAGGCCUUGGGAUUGAUGACCCUUCGCCUUUGGUCUGAAGGUUUGGGGACCUGAACCUUAUCGAGUCUAGAUGCAUUAGUGAACCCAACCUCAUGCAUCCAUGAUAGAAAUUGCCUAAGUUAGAGUCAACCUUACCCGAAUAGGAACACUAGGCACGAGGGGAGGGAUUACACCCUUUUUUCUUUAAAUUCCCUUCUAUUUUUCAUAUUACUUUUGUUUGCUCCAAUGUGUUAUGUGUUAUGUGUCAUAUAUCAAUCGAACUAACCUUUCUUUGUCCUAUUGCAUUCACAAACGCUAGAAAAUAAGAGUUCUGACAUGAUACUCUUUAGAACCUACCCUUUUAGAUAGGUUAUUGCAUGUUUAAAUUUCGAUGUAUUGCAUUCGUAGGUUAAUAAUUGUACAUUAUUUUAGGUCCACCCUGGCAUACGAAGGGUCCCUUAGGUCAUGUUUUCAUUUCAAAUUGCGUAUUUAAUUGCUUUGAUAAAUUGGCAUCAUACAUAAACUUUAGAGGGAAUGCCGCAUAGGGAAUCCCACGAUAGGAAUAAACAAUCCUGUGUCUCGGAUAUGUAAUCCAAUGAGACUUGCACGUUUAUAACUUUUGUAGCAUCCAAAGGGGUAGUGCACAAGGUAAGGUAGGAUCUGACAUUGCCCUCGAAGAUGAUAGAGCAACUUUUGCACAUUAGAAUAUGGGCAUCUAACAAUCAUCUUUUGGCCAUUUUAUCAGAAUUGGUAAAAAUCCCUUACAUAAAGGACAUUAAAUUGAAGAAAUUCACAAAUAAUCCCUCAUUGUUGAGACGAUAAAUAUGUUGAGACUAAAUCUUGAUUUUAGAAGGCUCAUAGACUAAUGCAUUGUAGCAAAAUUUGUACAAUUUGAAAACCACAAAUGGGUUGACAAUUUAGUCAAAUUUCAAAUAAUCCAUUUUACUAGUUUACUCACUUUUAGGGUAAUCUAGUCAAUUUUCAAGUAAACCAUCAAAUUCCAUCCAUCCCAUUUUUACGAGUUUAUUCGCAUCUAGGAUGAUUGAGUUGAUUUUUUUUGGAUAAACCAUUCGCUUCAUACAAAUUUAUUUGAUCAAUUCAUUUUUAGGAUAAUUUAGUCAAUUUUUGAAUAGAUCAUCACUCCAUCUGAUCUAUUUGAUUAUUUUAUUUCAUUCAAUUCAUUUGACCAGUUUAUUAAUUUUCAGGACAGUCUAGUCAAUUUUGAAUAAAUUAUCAAUUUCAUUCAAUCCAUUUGACCAAUUUUUCCAUUUUUAGGGUGAUCCAUUUAAUUUUGAAUAAAUCAUCAAUUUCAUUCAAUCCAUUUGACCAAUUUAUCCAUUUUUAGGGCGAUCCAGCAAAGUUCAUCAAUUUCAUCCGAUUCAUUUGACUUGUUUAUUCUCUUUUAGGGUUUCGGUCUAAGGUUUGUGACGCCUCCAUGUAGACACCAAAUUUUUAAGUUAUUUUUUUUUUCAUUUUUACUUUAAUUAUUUUAUUAAUUUCAUUAUUUUUUGUUUUUAGGCAUUUUUUUAGCAUACUAUAUUAUUAUUAUUUGUUUUUAUUUCUAUAUUCAUUCUCGCGCCUUUAGUCGUUUAAAUUUAUUUUAAGACUUUUAGUAUUAAGAUUUGUCGGAAAAAGAAAAUUCUUCAAAAAAUAUGCCUUAUUUCUUUUAGAUUUAAUUUUUAUGAAAUGUUAAUUGUUUAUUUUCUAAAUUAAGUUAAACUAAAAAAAAAAGAAAAAAAAAGGUCCAUAAUGCGGCAGAGGCACAUACCCAUCGGAGGGCCCUAGCAUGCCCAGCAAAACCUCCACUCUCAUCCUCACCUUUCAGGUGAGGGUUUGAGAGUAUGUGUUUGGUAUAAAUAGAACAAAAAAAUGCAGCUUUUGGGGGAAGGAAGGGUAGAGUAUGAGGGCUGAAAGAUAGAGGGGGAUAGAAAAAGGGUGACGGCAGGAAAAGAAAAAGGGGAUCUAGAGGAGAGCUGGGGGGGGGGACCUGAGAGAAAUAGAGGAAGAAGGGUGUGUGUGACGGAAGAAAUGAAAACCAGCAAAGGCGGAUGAAACAAGAGAGCAGACGGCUAGGGUAUUAGGAGAGAGUUUGAGAAGGUUUUGGGAACAGGGGUGGAAGAGGAGAAAAUCGAAAGCUGGGAAAAGGAAAAAGAGUUACGAGCAAGGUGGGGGGCAUGACGGCUGAAAAUUUUGGGAGAAGGUAGAGAGAAUCUGUUGGCGGCUGGGCUAAGGAGGAAGAAGCAGAGCAAAAGGAAAAGAACGGGGAAAUUCUGACGACGGCUGAGAGGUUAGAGCAAGUCGGGCAGAGGUUGAGGAAAAACAAGAGUAGAGAAACAGUGAGAGGUGACGGCCGAAGGAGAUUUGAGGGGGGAGGAGAAUCCAGUAGCGGUUAGGGCUUAGGAAUAAGAAAAAACGCAGCUUUGAGGAGGAAAGAAACUGUGGAGAGAAAAUCGGAAAGAACCAGAGUGAAAAGGAAAAGUUCGGGCAGGAGGAAGUCUUUUGGGGAAAGAAAAAGGAGAAACGCCGUUGCUGUUGCAGCCAGCGUUCUACUGCCGCCGACUCCACCACCUCAGCUCCUCGUCACUGCCACUGCCCGACAAGCGUCAUUGCCAACGGCAGAUUUGGUAACAAAUCCUGGGGUAGCUGAGGUAGUUUUCGAGCUGUCUUUCCCAAUAUAUAAGGUCAAAUAUAUAACAGUUUUUCGCCAUAUUGAUUGCCGCAUCUUCUUGCCCUUUUGCUGUGUUGUUUGGCUUAAAGCUUCUACCAUAUUUGCAUAUGAUUAAAAUGAUGAAUUGUGUUCAUGUUUUGGGCUUCAUGAUCUUGGGUCCGUCCAAGCUUUUGAUGUUUUUGUUGUUGAUGUAUUUAGUUGAUAAUGAAACUCAGUCAUUGGUGGGAGUUCAUGGUCGUGCCUUUGUUUCUUUUUGUGUAUGAAUCUGGAAUGGGGUAGCUUAGAGCCAUGGAAUGUUUGAUGUUGGGGUUACGUGUUUUGGUCCAAAGCUAUAGAAAACAGGCUCGAACGUUUGAUAGGUAGAUAAAUUUCUAUAGCUUUUAGAAAGCUUCGGUCAGAUUGCCUGAAAUUUUUUUUGUUGAAAAUGCAUGCUGUUGGACCCUCCCUGCUAUAGUUCUCCUGGUUUGCAUGAUCAGCUUUGUGAAAUGUCAGUUGUAUAGAAUGCUUAGCUUUGUUUCAAACUUUCUUUGUUGCUUCUUGCAAGUUUCUGGUUUGCUAUAGCAGUAGACAUUACCAUGCAAAUGCUGAAACAUUAGCUGCUCCAAGCUCGGGUCCCUUUGCUGCAUUUUAUGUUCAGUUUCCUUAUUAGAAUUUCCGGGAGAUAAACCCUUGCAUUUGGGUAAUGAUUAGCAAUAUGGGUAGGAAGCUAUAGCAUUGAGGAUUGGGUGGACAAGUCACUAAGCAUUCAUUCCCAUUACUUCGCAUGAUCAUCUUUUGGUUUGCAGCAGAAAAUUGCAGCAAACUUCAUUUUUGCUUGUUGAGUGUUUUGGAUUGUUUGAAAGGUUUGAUUCGCGUGUUGCUGGAGGUGUUUGAUGUUUGAACCAUAGUUGGUUUACUUACUCCUACAUCAGAUAUCAUGAAGUUAUGUCGCAAGCUUUGCUAAAUCGCAGAUGAUCGAAUAACAAGUUGCCUAGCCAUUUUGCAUGAAAGUUGCACACGAAUUUGCAUAUUUUCCUUUCCAGUUUUUUUUUUGUUUGUUUGGAUGCUGAAUUUGUGUGUCGCGUCGCUUAGAUUAAAUUUUGGGAUGUUUGCUUGGAAAAGUUUUGAUCAAAGUUGUCUGGAACAUAAGUUUGGAAACGAAACGGUAGCAGGCUCCACUUUCGGUUGCAGAAGCUUGCUUCGUAGCUCUUUGCAUGCAUUUUGCAUGAACAAUUUCCAGAAAAUUUCCUUUUUAGCCUCCCUAGUUUCCCAUAAUCCCAUUUUGGCUCAUAAGAUUGGAAGAUUUCCUUAAUUUUAUCCCUUUAACAUGUUAGUUUUCCUUGGUAUGUUUUCAUUUGAUUCGUGGAUAGACUUUUUAUGAAUUUUAGGAUGAAAUAAGAAAGUUUAAUAGUUUUUGGAAAAACUUAUAGUUUUGAUUUCCGUUUGAUUAAGAUCUUAGCUAAUUUUAUCGUUUAAUUCUAAUAAAUUGUUUUCCAUUCUUUUUUGAGAAGUUUAGCACUUACCUUGGAUAGAUUCUACUUUGAGUCACUAGUUUAGUUUAGAACUUCUACUUCAAUUAGAUUCUUUUCCACUCUAAUUUCUUGAAUAUCGAUGUUUUUUGUUUUAUGAAAAAUGCUUUAAGUUAUCCUUUUUUGUGUUAAUUUUCAUUGUGUGUUUAAUUUUUAUUUUUUGGUAUUUAAUUUUUAUUUCAUGUUAUUUAUUUGUUAAUUAAAGUGAUGCCUUGACUUUUUUUUUAUUAUUUUGGAGGAUAAAUAAGUAAUUUCAUCCCACUAGCUCAUCAAUUCAAGGGAGGUACAUUCUAACUCCUUUAUUUUGAUUUUACGUAAUCCUAUGUGCCCCUAUGUGAUUUACGUGUUUUAUUGCAUGCCUUUUGAAUGUUCUCAUUUUAUUUAUUUAUUUAUUCGUUUUAUUCGUUUUAAUUUCGUAUAUUUAUUUUAGUUCAUUUUGAUUAUUUGAAAGGCAUUUAAAUGCCAAAGUUGUAAUAGCUAGGUUAUUAUUUUAUUUAUUUAUUCCUUCCCCAUCCUAGAUUGUAGUAGGAGCCCCCCAAAUGUAAUAGUUAGGGGUUUAUUUGCUUUAUUUGCCUUGUGUGUUUUUGCAUGCCUAUGUGUUACGUGUUACCGCUUUCUUAGGGACUUGCAUCUAGAUACCAUGCUUAUGUGUUAUGUGCUAUACGUGAUUUAUGUGUUUAUUUGUUUUAUUAUGUUUUACAUGAUUUAUUUGAUUAUAACAAAUACAUGUCGUCACCACACUAGUCCAAUGCUAGUUGUGGCCGCCUUUCCCGAAUCCGCACUAGUCCAAUGCUAGUUGUGGCUCUUUGUUCGAUUUCUCAUUAGUCUAACGCUAGUGAGAAAGUAGAAAUAUGGGCUAGUCCAAUGCUAGACCCUUAGGGACCUCCCUCGUUAGAUCAUGCUUGUAUGAUUACAUUACAUUUCAUGCAUAUUUUUUCAUUUUUAGGAUUUUUGUCAUUUUCACAUAAUAUUUCCUCUAAUUAAAUAUCCCUUACCCCUAUGUAUAUAUAACAUUUAGAUUUGCAUCUCAUUUAGGAAAUUAGGGGGUAGAUUAGUGCAUUUUGCCUGAUUAGACUGGAAAUAACCCCUUGGAUAUGGGAUAUGGACGAGUUUGGUUUUUCUAGUCUUAGCACCCUCGUAUUCCCUCUAUUAAAAGGGGAAAAUUGAGUCACGCACAUUAGUCCCCCGUACCCGACAUGAUGCACUCCUUUGAGACAUGUAUAUUUGUAUAAUUAUUUUAUUCCUUUUCUUUUCUUAGAGUCUCAUAUUUUUGCAUUAUUCGUGACUUCUUCGAAGAGUCUUCAUUGGGCGUCACAAUUAAUGUGAUUGGUACCAAAUAAGCUUUAAAGAUACAUUUCGAUCCCCCGACACCCUCCUAGGUCUAGGGUUUCCAUUCAUAUAGUACAUCCAAAUGCGAUAAAUUUUUAGGUUAAGAAUAAGAAAAUCUUUGACUAAAUCACGCAAUUAGCCUUGGCUAGGUUGAAGGGGUGCCUUGGAUUUUUAUCAUUGCCUUCCCCUUCGUCAAAUGUGACUCCCGAACCUUUUUCGUUGGUUUACGUAGACUAGGAGUCGUUUAAAAGGGGUUUUUUUACUUUUUUCUUUUGAAAACUCAUUUUUGGUGACUUGGUACACCUUAACUCAAUACCAAGUGGCGACUCCGAUUUUUAUUUCAAAACCCUUUUUAAACUUAUUUUGGGUCAAAAUCGUCGCAUUUCAAAGCCCCAUUUAGACCCAUGUUUUUCAUUUUCUUUUGUAAACCAAAAAUUCAUUUUCCAAUCAAAAAUUGAAUCAAAAGCCAUUUCUAUAAACUCGUCAUUUAUUUAUUUUAUAAAAAAUGGGGCGCGACAGUUGGCGACUCCACUGGGGAUUUAGAAGGUCCGAGCAUUUGAUUUAGUCAAUAUUUUUCUUCUUUUAACCUUUUUAUAUAUCGCAUUUUGAUGUUUAUGGUUGCAUUUUUCCUUUUUUAGGUUUUUGCAUUUCGCGCGUAUCAAUUCGCUCCCUCGCACAUUUGCGUACGAUUGUUUUGAUGAAUGGAUGUUUCAUUUAUUUGUUUACUUUUACUUGUUUCGCGAUUGCAUUUUGGGAUGGGGGAUAGUUACCCUAGAACCUUCGACUGCAUCUGAUGGUAUAAUCCCUCCCCUCAAUAAGAAAGCACCUCAUACGUGCAUGCAUAGUCUUAUUUACCCUAUUUUUUUUCUUUUCGUGGGCGUUUCCCACACCUCUUUGUAGGAUUAGGAUCGAUUGCCUUGGGUAGGCGGAUGGUGUGCUCUGCGCCCAUAGCGCUACCUAAGGGAUCACUCGAGCCACCGAUCAAAGGCCCUGGGAGUGAUAACCCUUCGCCUUUAGGUCUGAAGGCUUGGGAGCCGAAACCUUAUCGAGUCUAGAUGCAUUAAUGAACCAAGCCUCAUGCAUCCAUAAUAGAAUUGCCUAGGGUAGAAUCGACCUUAUACUGAAUUAGGGACACUAGGCACGAGGGGAGGGAUUCCAACCCUCUUUCCUUAUUUUUGCUUUCUAUAUUUAUUACUUGAUUGCCACAACGUGUUAUGUGUUGAACUAACUUUCUUUGUUUCUUGUCUUUUGCAUUCACAAACGUUGGGAAAUGAGAGGUCUGGCAUGUUCUCCUUUUAGAACCUACCCUUGUAAAUAGGUUAUUGCACGUUUAAAGAUUUUGGUAUAUUGCAUAUAUAGAUUAAUAAUGCCAUAUCAUUUUAGGCCUACCCUGGCAAAUAAAGGGUCCCUUAGGUCAUGUUUCAUUUCCAAUUGCAUAUUUCACUGCUUUAAUAAACUGGCAUCACGCAUAAACCAUAGAAAGGGAAUGCCAUUUAGGGGAUCCCAUGUUAUAGGAAUAAACCACCUCGUGUUUCGGAUACUUAAUCCAAUGAGACUUGCACGGUUAUAUUUCUUGUACUGUCCGAAGGGGUAGUGCACGAAAUAAGUUAGGAUCCGAUCCUUUCCAUGACCCUGGGGCGAUCUUUGGUCCAUUAGAAUAUGAGCAUCUAACAGUCAUUCUUUGGCCAUUUUUAACAUAGUUGGUAAAAAUCCCUUGCUUAAAGGACAUUAACUUGAAGAAAUUCACCAAUAUUUCCUCACUAUUGAGAUGAUAAAUAAAUCAAGGCCAAAAUUUGAUUUUAGAAGGCUUAUAGACUAAUACAUCGCAAUAAAUUUUUGAAACUACCAAUGGAUAGAUUGAUUUUUAAGUAAGCUGUCAAUUCCAUUCAAUCCAUUGGACUAUUUUAUUCAUCAAUUUCAUCCAGUCCAUUUUAUCGAUUUGUUCAUUUUUAGGGCAACCUAGUCGAUUUUGAAUUCAUUUGACUAGUUUACCCAUUUUAGGGCAAUUUAGUUGAUUUUGAAUAGAUCACCAAUUUCAUUCAAUUCAUUUGAUUAGUUUUUAUGGCAAUCUUAUCGAUUUUGAAUAAAUCAUCAAUUUCGUCCGAUCCAUUUGACCAGUUUACCUAUUUUUAGGACAAUUCGGUCGAUUUUGAAUAAAUCAUCAUUUCACUCGAUCUGUUUGAUCAAUUGAUUCCAUUUAAUUCAUUUGAUUAGUUUAAUUUAUUUUCAGGGUUAUCCAUUCAAUUUUUAGUAAAUAAUCAAAUUUCAUUCAAUGCAUUUGACCAUUUUACCCCUUUUGGCACAUCAUGCGUCGAUCAAAGCAAGCAAUCCAUUCGGACUUUGUCCUCAUUUUUAGGACAAAUGUCUUUUCUCUCUCCAAUUGGCCAAAUUUUUCAAUUCAUUUUUGAAUUGACCAACAAUCACUCUCACACUUUCACAAGUUCCUUAUCAAACAAGGAAGAAUGCACACUUGCUUUAAAAUUCAAUUCAACGUCUUUAUAAGAGUUUCACUUUAUCGAAAAUCAAGAUUCACAAGUGAGGAAUUUAAAGUUACUAAGGAAACUCAUAUCCUCCACGAAAUCGGAUUCAAAACAAUAUAUCAAUAUCCAGAUAAGAAGUCAAGUUUCCAAAAUUGCAUUUUCUAAGAAAUCGGCAAAUUUCAGCUUUGCAUGCCAAAAUUAGAAAAAUCAGAUCUUGCACUCAGUAAGUCCAAAAUUGGAAACUUUACACCGUUGGAAACUAGUUUCAAAGUACUAAAAGUUCUUUGAAGACAUUUUUCCAAGAUUCAAAGUGGAAGACAAUCAUUUUUCAGCUCAAAGUGGCGGUUCUGAACAAGCAGUGCAGUUCCAGUCAUGUUUUUCGGCAAUCUUUGGAAAUUCGGAAAAAUUCACAGAAAGUGAACUAGCCUUUGAAAUUUGUAACACACUACGAGUUUCUAACAGAUUUUCAAACAAUACAAACAGAACUAAAUUCGGAGUUUUGAGCACUAAGAUAUCAUAGCUUAAAGUCGGCUAACUUUUGUACACUAUUCAGAAAUUUUUCAGAUUUGAAGAACAAAUUUUGAGACAUCAUUUGGGUAUCGAAAUGGUCUUAGAAUAACACCAAUUUGGGUACACUAAAACUUCGAUAUGAGGACUACUUUUCUAUCAAAUUUCACGCAAAAAUUCGUACGGAAAGGUAGUUAACAAAACAACCAAAGUUUGGAAGAUAUUUCAAAGUAAUUCUGCCUUCUUGCUUUUAUUUCUUUUCCAAACAUUUUACGCAAUGAAAUCAAUCCCAAUUUGGUUUAUUUUUUAAACCAAGGUCCUAUAACCACUUAAUAGGCAAUAUAUGAUUGAUUGACAUCAGAAUUUUUGAAAUAAAACGUCCCAAAUCAAACUUAACCAUUCGGCUAGCAAAAAGAGAAAGAUUUUUAUAUUUCUAACUUUGUCACAGUUUGGAAAUUGUACCAUAUCUCACUCAAUACAAAAUGCUAUAUUUCAUCAGAACAAGUCAUUCUCAAAAUCAGUUCACAAGUGGUUCGAAUUCAAGCCUCAAGUUACAGCUUCUCAUUUCCAUUCGGGUGAAUAGGUUGAACAGAACAGCCGAUUUUAUCAGCUCACUGAUGCUCACACAAAAUGAACUAGCUAGUGAUUUUUGUACCGUUUUAAAGCUACGAAUGUCUAGUUUCAACUGCUGCAAACGGCACUCGAUUUAGAGGUCUGUACAAUGAGAUAUGUUCGAUCAAAGGGACACUAUUUGGAUGCCCUGAACACGUUUUCCAGAUUUCUUCAUAUUUCAAAAAUUCAGGUUUUUCUCAAUCAAUUCAAAUGAUUUUUGGUAGAAACUUUCUAAACACAAUAUACCACAUAUAUACAUCAGUUUCACAGUCAUUUGAGUAACAAAAUUUUGAAAUACAUUGCACGAAAUUGACUGGACAAAUUCGGCUAGUUUCAUGCAUCAACUUUUGUGAGGACUCGCAAAAAUUUACUUAUUUUAAAUUCCUAUUACUAGCUUAUUGCCUGUUUACUCUGAAUAUUUUAUUUCAACCUUUUUAGACCUAAUUACAUGGAAUUAUGACUUACAUAGAUUUUUAAAAUGAUUUGUUUCUAAAUUUAAUUUUUGAAAGGUCGUUAAGUGAGAAUAGUGAAUACGCGAUUGGAAUUAAUAAUCGAUUUGAGGAUACAAUAAACUUGAAAAAUUGGAGACUUGUACAUUAGUUUUAAAAUAGGUAUUUUUAUGUUUAAAUGCUCAAGUGUUAGUUAAUUAUACCAUCAUUAUAAGAAAUUCUUAGAGAUUCCAUUUUAUCGCGCACAAAUCGGUACUACGCGUUUUUACACGCUCGAUUAAUUGAGGGAUUUUAGACCCUUAAGAGUGAAUAAUAAUAAUAUGAAUGAAAGUGCAUUAGAGAUUUAGAGAUGAAAAUUGGUCAAGUAAGAAAGGACCAGUAAAGAUUUUGAUCGAAAAGUGAAGAGGUUAAAAACACAAACAAGUCCCUCUAAUGAAGGUUUUAUAGAGAGAUUAUGGACUAGAGGAAGCAACCUGAGAAGUGGAAGAAACCAUUCGAGAAAAGUAUCCAGACCUGUUCACCAAUCAAGGUAUAAUUUCGAGGACGAAAUUUUCUUAAGGGGGAGAGGGUCUGAGGACUCGCAAAAAUUUACUUAUUUUUAAUUCCUAUUACUAGUUUAUUUAAAUAUUUAAUUACCCGUUUACUCUGAAUAUUUUAUUUCAACCUUUUUAGACCUAAUUACAUGAAAUUAUGACUUGCAUAGAUUUUUAAAAUGAUUUGCUUCCAAAUUUAAUUUUUGAAAUCUCGUUAAGUGAGAAUAGUGAAUACGCGAUUGGAAUUAAUAUUCGAUUUGAGGAUACAAUAAACUUGGAAAAUUGGAGACUUGUACAUUAGUCUUAAAAUAGGUAUUUUUAUGUUUAAGUGCUCAAGUAUUAGUUAAUUAUACCAUCGUUAUAAGAAAUUCUUAGAAAUUCCACUUUAUCGCGCACAAAUCGGUACUACGCUUUUUCACACGUGCGAUUAAUUGAGGGAUUUUAGACCCUUAAGAGUGAAUAAUAAUAAUGUGAAUGAAAGUGCAUUAGAGGUUUAGAGCACAAGUGAAACAAACUCGAGAGGAAUCGAGCACGAAACGAGCGCGUACGCGCACUAUCCUUGGUUGACUUUUGGAGUAAUUUUGGCCACACAUUGUUAAGCAUCUCAUGGAAGCAACACACCAGAUCAAAACUCUUCCUUUCUUCCUCUUAGCAACUGUGCACUCUAUGGAAGAAAAAGACCAACAAUUCUCUUCAUUUCACCUCACAAUUCUUGCUCAAAUCACCUCAAAUUUUACGUACAACUUGCUAAACACUUGGUGAACAACAUUAGCAAGGAAGAGAGCUUGCUUUCCAUGGUUUUGUUGAGCUUCAAGAGGCCGAAAAUUUCUGACUUGCUCAUCCAAAGAGGUAAUGAACGAUCAACCUCAAAAAUCUUAGUUUAUAGAAGUUAUAUUACACUCAUGAGCUCUUGGAUUCUCAUGGGUAGCUUUAAAUUGUUAGAAAUUUUAUGAGUGGGCUCUAUGAACUCCCACUUUGGUUUGAUGGACUGAUUUUGUGAGUUUUGAUGUUAAUAAUGUUGGAUUAGUGCUUAAAUUAGUAGAAAUGAGUGAUAUUGUGGAUAAAAACUCAAAGGAAAUGAUGAGGGAAUAUUUUUUCAUUUCUGCCCCUGUACAUGCCGUGGCCUUAGAGCAAUUUUUUGUCGUUCUAACAACUUGUUUAUGAUGUAUACAUAUUGUAUGGGUUGUGUAGAAAGUUUCAUAAAAAAAUUUCAUGAUUUGGUUGGCCAAAUGAUGUGUUUUCGGAAAUCAGCAAAAACUGGAAAUUUUCCCGUAACUGCUCUGGCAGUGUUUUUGUUUUGGCUAUAACUUUUUGCUCCGAUGUCAAAAUUGAGUGUUGUUUAUGGCACUGGAAACUAGACAUUCCCAUAUUUCCAACAGUAUAAAAUGGAUGUCCGGGUUCUACUUGAGUAGUCCAUACCAAUCGUUUGAACAUGACUGUCCUGUUUCGCGUCUACACUGGGAGCUCUGUUUUGAGCAACGAAUUGGGGCUCAAAUAUGAGCUAGCUGUGGACAGAUUUUGAAAAUCAUUUCUUCUAAAAAAUUAUAGCUUUAUGAAUCUAUUUUUAACUCCAUCAACUGCACUCAAUUCCAAGUUGAAUUGAGUGAGUUGUGGCCAAAGUUCGAAACUGACUCAAUGAUUUGAAACCCUCUUUUUGGCUAGUAAAUGUCUAAAUCUUGAUUGGGACUUGUUGUUUCGAAAUUGUUGGUGUUAGUCAUCGACCAAAUGUAUCUUGGAUGUUUCUUAGACAUUACCUACAUAAAAAGAACCAUGUUUGAGACAUUUUUGUUGGCCAAAUGUUUUGAAAACGGAAAACUCAUGUCCAAGGCAGAUUUGCCUUGGAAAUUUGGAAAUUUUGGUGAUCUGGUUAACCAACUUGCCGUACGUAUUUUUCCAUGAAAAUUGACAGAGGAAUAGCUCUCAUAUGGUAGUAUAAUACGGUCAAAUUUGGUGCCAUUCCAAGUCCUCCUCGAUGCCCAACAGAUGUCCCAACUUCUGCAUUUCAAAUCUAGAAAACUUUUCCUUUUCUCUUGACCGAAUGGUCAAAUCUAAUUUGGGGAGUUAUAUUUCAAAAAUUGUGAUGUUCAUUACCUUUAAAUUGCUUAGUGGAUGUUUAUGGACUCUUGGUUUCGAAAAUGGAGUGAUUUAGAACUGAUUUCAUUGCACAUGAUGUUUGCAAGCAAAAGAAAAGGGAGAAGACAGAUUAGCUUUGAAAUAUUUCUUGAACUUUGGUUGUUUUAAAAACUACCUUCCCGUGGGAAUUUUUGCAUGAAACUUGGUAGAAAUGUUUUUCACACAUGGAAGAUUUAGUGUACCAAUUUAGGUGUAUUUCUAAUGCCAAAUCGAUGGCCAAAUGAUAUUUCUAAGAUAGUCUUUGAAUCUGAAAAAUGACUAAACAGUUUGUGAAAUGUGAUCAACUUUGGAUUGAUGUCUCUCGAUCUCAAAACUCUGAUUCUUGUUCUGCCUGUUGUGUUUUAAACUUUGAUUGUAACUCUAAAUGAGUUCCAAAUUUUAGAGACUAGUUCGCAUUGAAUGAAUUUUGCCAAAUUUCCAAAUUUUGCCGAAGAUCAACCCAAAACUGUCUUAAUGGUCCAAAACAGCCACUUUGGGCCACCUUUCGAAUGCCUUCCAUUUGGAAUCAUGAAAAAGUGUAUUCUAGGAAAUUUUAGUACUUCGGAAGAAGUUUCCAACGGUACCAAGUUUUCCAAUUUUGGACUUGUAAUGAGUGAGAUACUAUUUUUCAAAAAUCUCAUAUCAAAACUGAAAUUUUCGAAAUUUAAGGAAAUGGAGUUUUUCAAAUUCUCCUUUUUCCCUCGAUAUCACUUGAACGUUUUACACUUGAUUUCAAAGAUGAAAACUCGAUUUCUCUUGUGCUUUUAAAACCCCACUUUUGAGUCUUGAUUCGCGAGUAAUUUAGGCUCGCUUUUGUGAAAUUUUCUUGGAUUGUACAAGCGUACAACCAUUCGUGAUAAUUGGGGUAUAUAAAUGAUAGUUCACUAUUAAUUGUUCAGGCUCGCACGAGAACCUUCAAGAGGAUUCCACGGUGGACGCCUGAACGUCAAGUGAUAUUUCUUAUUUGUUUAUUUUGUGAGUGUCAAAUAUGUGUUAAAUGCUUAUGUGAUUGAGAUAUUAGUUGUACAGGUGUUAUACAUAAUACGUAAACUUGCCGAGCCAAGUAUGUACUUUAUCGCAAUCGUUCUCAUUUAAAAUAAAUGACUCAUGUUUGACCUGACCUGACUUGCUUGACCUGACAUGACUUGAUUUGAAAAAUAUGCUAUGGCUGCAUAAGUCGAUUGGAGCGAUGUCUCAUCGACCUCCGAACGAUAGUAAGUACCACACCGAUUUGGUGGGAGGUACCUCUCGAAUCGUCUCAGACCUAUUAACUGAACGAUUGUAAGUACCACACCGAUCCGGGUGAGAGGUACCUCUCGAUCCGUCUCAGUACCCUAAACCUCUGAACGAUAGCAAGUACCACACCGAUUCGGGUGGGAGGUUCCUCUCGAAUCGUCUCAGAACCCUAAAGCAUUCUAAGUCGAUUGGAGCGAUGUCUCAUCGACCUCUGGACGAUAGUAAGUACCACACCGAUUUGGUGGGAGGUACCUCUCGAAUCGUCUCAGAACUAUAAACUGAACGACAGUAAGUACCACACCGAUUUGGGUGGGAGGUACCUCUCGAGUCGUCUCAGAAACAUACAUGGAAUAUGUGAAGGGCUACGAACUCAAUUACCUACCCGGGGAACGGGGUGUCGUCAUGGGAAGGUAUUAAAAUUAAAUUUGGGCAAAGCAAGAAAUCAUUAGCUCCGGAGAGCUUCUGCAUCCUACUCAAGGGUGUUUAUUAUAAAUUGUGAAUUUUCUUGAAUGUUAUAGUUUUCACUAUUGUGUAAGUGCUAUUAUUAUUGAAUUACUUGUCUUGCAUGUUUUCUUGGCCUCACGAGCAUCCGCUCACCCCGUUAGACUUGUUUUCUUUAACAGGAGAUGAAAUGGAAGGAAUUAUGGAGAGGUUGACUUGAUUGCCUUUUUAUUAGAAUUUUAAAUGUACUCAUUUAGUCAACUUUUGAAAUCUGUAUAUUUUGGGAUCGUAAGAUAUUUUGGUAACUUAUAAUGUAAGACUUGAUCGAUUAUUAAGGAAUUGACCUUCCUUUAUAUUUUUGACUUUUAGUACUGAUUGGUUAUUCUUAAAUUUGAAUUAAAUUUGUACCGAGUCCUGGCGAGAGUUGGGCAGGCGUCCCGCAGAUACCCUUGGGUUCGUUCUUGGGAGAAGUGGGGGCGUCACAGUUGGUAUCAGAGUUUAGGCUUUAGAUCUUUGUAAAGUAUCCUAGACCUAAUAGUUAGGAUGCCGGACCGUGGGAUUUGAUUGUGUAUUAAGUACAACGUGAUUUUGGUGCUUGAGAUUGUAGUACCAUUUUUGCUCACAAAAUAUUAUAAGACUUUACUUUUCAAGUUAGGUUGGAGGUGGGUCAAGAUUAAAAAAAAAAAAAAUCUAAAUAGCCAUCUAGUGAAUUUAAGGGUUAGAAACCUUGCUUUCCCCACUCUUGUCGAACAUUUCGAAAGAAAAGUUGAACCAUUUGAAUAAUUUUGGGCUCCACUUUGAACUUGAAAAUGAGACAUCUUUGUAUUCCGUUUGGUUUGACUUAUUACUCUAACUUGUACAAGAACUUUCACCUUGAAUCUAGCGAGAAGGCUGAGAAUUUAGGAAGUAGCUCAAGCUUUUGGAUGCAAUUUGGAGUUUAUAAUCAUUUGAAUGAUGUGGUUUGGUAUCAUGGAUUAUUCUAGUUUUGUCCCUAACUAGGUUUAUGAUUUUUCUUUUGAUCCUGCCUAGUAUAGUAGGGGUGGUGCUCGCCGUGAGCCCUUUUGUAUUUUGCCUGCAAGUACUAUAUUUGUGGCACUUAGUUGCCUAUGACCUGUAUUUGAUACUAUUAACUCGUUGUAUGCACAUUGACAUGUGACAUGACUUCUAACUUAUGCAAAUAACUAUGUUUUGAUUUAAAGUGUUCUUGCAAUGUGUACCUGUUUUUCGAUUCACAUGCUUAUACUUUCUACUUCUAUUAUGCAUUUAGAAGCUUGCUAAACGAAUCGGCAAGAACGUGGACGGGGGCGUGGGCGUGGGUUUCGGCAACCCCGCACACUCGAGAAAGAUGAGGGGUCCGCGACUGGACCAAACCAAAACCUUAGAAACGAAGAAGGUGACCAAGUGGCUACGGCCAUUAACCGUAUGACCGAUAUUCUCGAGCGCUUAGCUGAGCGUCAGGGACCUGAACCAGCUGAUCAACCUAGGAACCAAGAGAGGGGUGAGGAUAGAGCUCUCGAGCGAUUCUUGAAGUUUGCUCCUCCUAAGUUCCAUGGAGGGUCUGAUCCUGAAGUAGCGAAAAAUUGGUUUGAAAGGAUGGUUGAUAUUUUUGCUGCUUUAGAUUAUACCGAGGAAAGGCAAGUGAAUUUUACCAUUUUUUAAUUUGAAGGGGCAGCACGCUCGUGGUGGAAUGUUGUUAGUGCAAAGUGGGAAAGAGAACAAAUCCCUUGGACUUGGGUAAACUUUGAGAGGGAGUUUAAUGUCAAGUUUCUCCCACCAAUUAUACAAGAAAAGAGGGAGAACGACUUUAUUAAGUUAAAUCAAGGGUUAUUAAGUGUGGCCGAGUAUGAGGAGCGGUUCACCAAACUUUCCAAAUUUGCCCCUGAGCUUGUACUUACCGAACGGAAAAGGAUAAGGAGGUUUAUUCAGGGGUUAAAUGUAAAAAUUCAAGAAUUCCAAAUAGCUGCCCAGAUUACCACUUUUACGGAUGUCUUGGAUAAGACACAGAGGGUAGAGAAUGCUAAAUCUCAAUCUAAAACUUUUCAUACUAGAAAGAGGGGUAGCCCAAGUGAUAUCUCUAAACCGUCAGAAAAGUCUACCCAACCCCUUAAUAUGGAAAAAGGGGUUGGAGAAGUGAAGAUGCAUGAAAAACCUGGAGAACUCCAUCAAACAAAACCCCGCCAAAAGGAAAUAGGAAUAGACGAGGUCAACAAAAAGGGAAAUCUCAAACUGGUCAAGUCGUGACUCCUCACAUAACUUGUAGAUACUGUGGCCAGAUUAACCACACUGAGGCCGAGUGGUGGAGAAAACAAGAAAAAUGUCUGAGCUCUAGCAGUACCUAGCAUAAGUUUUCGAAUUGCCCUAAAGUUUCUAAAGGAAAAGGAAAUUCUCAACAACCUGUUAAAUCCACGGCAAAAUCAGUCGAGUGCCAGAGGGAGUGAUUAAUGCUAAAGAUUGUAAGAGAGACCCAAGUAGUAGAAACUCUAUGAGUAGGGGUAAAUCUAAUUCCACUCGACAAAUAGGGAUUGUAGUUUUACCCUAGCAUAGACUGACACUUAGAAGUUGUAAUCUUUUGUAUACGGGAUGACAUCCUUCUGAUGUAUAUUACGACUUAACACGUUUUGAUUUUGUUGAUUCCCCUUUUCUUUCGAAACGAUUUGAUGAACUUAUUAUAAUUUAGUAUAACCAUUAUGAUCUUUUUAGCAUAUGAAAAUCUACCUUACUUCUAAUUAAUUUUAUGGUUUAUAUGUAUAUGUAAUCUGUUGCUCCAUAUCUCAAGACCUGUAAUAAGAUCAUAAAUGGUACCUGAGAAUAAUUAAGUUCCAUAAGUGUGAGUUUUGAAUGAGAGAAGUAAGAGAGAUGAAAAUUGGUCAAGUAAGAAAGGACCAGUAAAGAUUUUGAUAAAAAAGUGAAGAGGUUAAAAACGCAAACAAGUCCCUCUAAUGAAGGUUUUAUAGAGAGAUUAUGGACUAGAGGAAGCAACCUGAGAAGUGGAAGAAACCAUUCGAGAAAAGUAUCCAGACCUGUUCACCAAUCAAGGUAUAAUUUCGAGAACGAAAUUUUCUUAAGGGGGAGAGGAUGUGAGGACUCGCAAAAAUUUACUUCUUUUAAAUUCCUAUUACUAGCUUAUUUAAAUAUUUAAUUGCCCGUUUACUCUGAAUAUUUUAUUUCAACAUUUUUAGACCUAAUUACAAGGAAUUAUGAAUUGCAUAGAUUUUUAAAAUGAUUUGUUUCCAAAUUUAAUUUUUGAAAGCUCGUAAAGUGAGAAUAGUGAAUAUGCGAUUGGAAUUAAUAAUCGAUUCGAGCAUACAAUAAACUUGAAAAAUUGGAGACUUGUACAUUAGUUUUAAAAUAGGUAUUUUUAUGUUUAAGUGCUCAAGUGUUAGUUAAUUAUACCAUCGUUAUAAGAAAUUCUUAGAGAUUCCAUUUUAUCGCGCACAAAUCGGUACUACGCAUUUUUACACGCGCGAUUAAUCGAGGGAUUUUAGACCCUUAAGAGUGAAUAAUAAUAAUAUGAAUGAAAGUGCAUUAGAGGUUUAGAGCACAAGUGAAACAAACUCGAGAGGAAUCGAGCACGAAACGAGCGCGUACGCGCACUAUCCUUGGUUGACUUUUGGAGCAAUUUUGGCCACACAUUGUUAAGCUUCUCAUGGAAGCAUCACACCAGAUCAAAACUCUUCCUUUCUUCCUCUUAGCAACUGUGCACUCUAUGGAAGAAAAAGACCAACAAUUCUCUUCAUUUCACCUCACAAUUCUUGCUCAAAUCACCUCAAAUUUUACGUACAACUUGCUAAACACUUGGUGAACAACAUUAGCUAGGAAGAGAGCUUGCUUUCCAUGGUUUUGUUGAGCUUCAAGAGGCCGAAAAUUUCUGACUUGCUCAUCCAAAGAGGUAAUGAAUGAUCAACCUCAAAAAUCUUAGUUUAUAGAAGUUAUUACACUCAUGAGCUCUUGGAUUCUCAUGGGUAGCUUUGAAUUGUUAGAAAUUUGGUGAGUGGACUCUAUGAACUCCCACUUUGGCUUGAUGGACUGAUUUUGUAAGUUUUGAUGUUAAUAAUGUUGGAUUAGUGCUUAAAUUAGUAGAAAUGAGUGAUAUUGUGGAUGAAAACUCAAAGGAAAUGAUGAGGGAAUAUUUUUUCAUUUCUGCCCCUGUACAUGCCGUGGCCUUAGAGAAAUUUUUUUGUGGUUCUAAUGACUUGUUUAUGAUGUAUACAUGUUGCGUGGGUUGUGCAAAAAGUUUCAUUAAAAAAAUUUCAUGAUUUGGGUGGCCAAAUGAUGUGUUUUCGGAAAUCAACAAAAACUGGAAAUUUUCCCGUAACUGCUCUGGCAGUGUUUUCGUUUUGGCUAUAACUUUUUGUUUCGAUUUCAAAAUUGUGUGCUGUUUGUGGUACUGGAAACUAGACAUUCCCAUCUUUCCAACAGUAUAAAAUGCAUGUCCUGGUUCCACCUGAGUAGUCCAUACCAAUUAUUUGAAUAUGACUGUCCUGUGUCGCGUCUACACUGGGAACUCUAUUUUGAGCAGCGAAUUGGUGUUCAAAUAUGAGCUAGCUGUGGACAGGUUUUGAAAAUGAUUUCUUCUAAAAAAUUAUAGUUUUAUGAAUCUAGUUUUAACUCCAUCAACUACGCUCAAUUCCAAGUUGAAUUGAGUGAGUUGUGGGCAAAGUUCGAAACUGACUCAAUGAUUUGAAACCCUCUUUUUGGCUAGUAAAUGUCUAAAUCUUGAUUGGGACUUGUUGUUUCGAAAUUGUUGAUGUUAGUCAUCUACCAAAUGUAUCUUGGAUGUUUCUUAGACAUUACCUAUGUAAAAAGAACCAUGUUUUGGACAUUUUUGUUGGCCAAAUGUUUUGAAAACGGAAAACUCAUGUCCAAGGCAGAUUUGCCUUGGAAAUUUGGAAAUUUUGGUGAUCUGGUUAACCAACUUGCCGUACGUAUUUUUACAUAAACAUUGACAGAGGAAUAGCUCUCAUAUGGUAGUAUAAUACUGCCAAAUUUGGUGCCAUUCCAUGUCCUCCUCGAUGCCCAACAGAUGUCCCAAAUUCUGCUUUUCAAAUCUGGAAAACUUUUCCUUUUCUCUUGGCCGAAUGGUCAAAUCUGAUUUGGGGAGUUAUAUUUCAAAAAUUGUGAUGUUCAUUACCUUUAAAUUGCUUAGUGGAUGUUUAUGGACUCUUGGUUUCGAAAAUGGAGUGAUUUAGAACUGAUUUCAUUGCACAAGACGUUUGCAAGCAAAAGAAAAGUGAGAAGGCAGAUUAGCUUUGAAAUAUUUCUUGAAUUUUGGUUGUUUUAAUGACUGCCUUCCCGUGGGAAUUUUUACAUGAAACUUGGUAGAAAUGUUGUUCACACAUGGAAGAUUUAGUGUACCAAUUUUAGUGUAUUUCUAAUGCCAAAUCGAUGGCCAAAUGAUAUUUCCAAGAUAGUCUUUGAAUCUGAAAAAUGACUGAACAGUUUGCAAAAUGUGAUCAACUUUGGACUGAUGUCUCUCGAUACUCAAAUCUCUGAUUCUUGUUCUGCCUAUUGUGUUUUAAAAUUUGAUUGUAACUCUAAAUGAGUUCCAAAUUUUAGAAACUAGUUCACAUUGUAUGAAUUUUGCCAAAUUUCCAAACUUUGCCGAAAAUCAACCCAAAACUGUCUUAAUGAUCCAAAACAGCCAUUUUGGGCCAACUUUUGAAUGCCUUCCAUUUGGAAUCAUGGAAAAGUGUAUUCUAUGAACUUUUAGUACUUCGGAAAAGGUUUCCAACGAUACCAAGUUUUCCAAUUUUGGACUUGUAAUGAGUGAGAUACGAUUUUUCAAAAAUAUCGUAUCAAAGCUGAAAUUUUCGAAACUUAAGGAAAUGAAGUUUUUGGAAUUCUCCUUUUUCCCUCGAUAUCACUUGAACGUUUUACACUUGAUUUCAAAGAUGAAAACUUGAUUUUUCUUGUGCUUUUAAAACCCCACUUUUGAGUCUUGAUUUGCGAGUAAUUUAGGCUCGCUUUCGUGAGAUUUUCUUGGAUUGUACAAGCGUACAACCAUUCGUGAUAAUCGGGGUAUAUAAAUGAUAGUUCACUAUUAAUCGUUCAGGCUCGCACGAGAACCUUCAAAAGGGUUCCAGGGUGGACGCCUGAACGUCAAGUGACAUUUCUUUGUUUAUUUUAUGAGUGUCAAGUAUGUGUUAAAUGCUUAUGUGAUUGAGAUAUUAGUUGUACAAGUGUUAUACAUAAUACGUAAACUUGCCGAGCCGAGUAUGUACUUUAUCGCACUCGUUUUCAUUUGAAAUAAAUGACUCAUGUUUGACAUGACCUGACUUGCUUGACCUGACGUGACUUGCUUGACCUGACAUGACUUGAUUUGGAAAAUAUGCUAUGGCUGCAUAAGUCGAUUGGAGCGAUGUCUCAUCGACCUCUGAACGAUAGCAAGUACCACACCGAUUUGGUGGGAGGUACCUCUCGAAUCGUCUCAGACCUAUUAACUGAACGAUUGUAAGUACUACACCGAUCUGGGUGAGAGGUACCUCUCGAGUCGUCUCAGUACCCUAGACCUCUGAACGAUAGCAAGUACCACACCGAUCCGGGUGAGAGGUACCUCUCGAAUCGUCUCAGAACCUUAAAGCAUUCUAAGUCGAUUGGAGCGAUGUCUCAUCGACCUCUGGACGAUAGUAAGUACCACACCGAUUUGGUGGGAGGUACCUCUCGAAUCGUCUCAGAACUAUAAACUGAACGAUAGUAAGUACCACACCGAUUUGGGUGGGAGGUACCUCUCGAGUCGUCUCAGAAACAUACAUGGAAUACGUGAAAGGCUACGAACUCAAUUACCUACCCGGGGAACGGGGUGUCGUAAUGGGAAGGUAUUAAAAUUGAAUUUGGGCAAAGUAAGAAAUCAUUAGCUCCGGAGAGCUUCUGCAUCCUACUCAAGGGUGUUUAUUAUAAAUUGUGGAAUUUUUUGAAUGUUAUAGUUUUCACUAUUGUCUAAGUGCUAUUAUUAUUGAAUUACUUAUCUUGCAUGUUUUCUUGGCCUCACGAGCAUCCGCUCACCCCGUUAGACUUGUUUUCUUUAACAAGAGAUGAAAUGGAAGGAAUAAUGGAGAAGUCGACUUGAUGUACUUUUUAUUAGAAUUUUGAAUGUAUUUAUUUAGUCAACUUUUGAAAGCUGUAUAUUUUGGGAUUGUAAGAUAUUUUGGUAACUUAUAAUGUAAGACUUGAUCGAUUAUUAAGGAAUUGACCUUCUUUUAUAUUUUCGACUUUUAGUACUGAUUGAUUAUUCUUAAGUUUGAAUUGAAUUUAUACCGAAUCCUGGCGAGAGUUGGGCAGGCGUCCAGCAGAUACCCUUGGAUUCGCCCUUGGGAGAAGUGGGGGCGUCACAACUUUCCUUCGAUUUUCUCUUCCUUUUCUAUCCAUAAUCAAUCCAUUUACAAACAUAACAAUCAUAAUCAAGCAUUUACACCUCAAGGCAGCUAUCUAGAGGUCACCGCAAGUCAGCUAGCCUAGGAUUAAAGCAAUAAAAAUGGAUUCCUCAAGUCUUCUACCUAGUUUCAUGCAUAGGGUUUCAAACCCUUGCAAAUCCAACCGUAAAUCUUGAAUUAGAUGGAAAGAUUGAAAUGUAUCUCUUACCCCUUGAAGAACCAGAAAUUUUUUAAUCACAAAAGCUCCAAGAAAACUGCCAAUAUGAAGUCUUCCAUCAAACUUAAACUAAUCUCUAAGUGAUAUGGAAGUUGAGUGAAGAUUUAGAGGUGAAAUGGUGCAAUAUUGGAUGGAGUUUUCUUUCCUUCUUCUUCCUUGGGGCUGCUGGCCAAAAAAUGGAGAGAGAUGAGAGAGGUUUGUGUGCUAAAACUUGGGGAGAAAGAAUGGAAUAGUAGCCAUAAGUGUUGGGCAAAAAAUCAACUCUUAAUAGUUGUCGUGCGCGGGUUUCGUACUACCGUUUUCUCUCUUGUUUGUUAUACUUGUGCAUUAAACCUCCAGUGUAUUUCCUUUAACACUAUAAUUUUUCACUCUUUGUAGUCUAGUAUAAAUUUCUUAAAUCUCCACUUAACCGCUCCGACGUGAAACACGCGUACUUACACGAAAUGCGUGAACUUACGACGCGCGCGCAAAAAAAUCGAAACUUAAGAAAAAUUCAUGCACUACUAGGGUUAUUAAAUAUAACUAGGGCAAUUAAUUAUAUAAAAAAAACUAAAUUAAGAAUUAAAAACACAAGUCCUUACAAGGUUCACUAAAUAAACUAGUCGAGACAUUGCAAUCCUUUCAAGAGUAGACUCUUUCGCAUAUCACUUUAUGUGUCAAUCAAAGUAAUCAAUCCAUUCGAACUUUGUCCUUAUUUUGCUAGGAUAAAUGUCUCUUCUCACUCCAAUUGGCCAAAUUUUUUUUUAAAUUGCUUUUCAUUCGAAUAUCAAUAAGUUGAUCGGGUUCGUCAGGUAUUGUAUAGUGCCUACCCUAGAGGAUUGUAUUAUCAUUCUAGGCCAACCCUUGGUACAAAAGGGUUCCCCAAUAGGACAUGCAUCCGAAUUACUUUAAUUUUUACUAACUCGUGUCUUUUUCUUUUUCUUUUUUUCUUUUUGUCUUUUUGUCAACAGUUAAUCAAGAAGGGAAUCUAAAUAGGAUUUUUCCUAAAUUUUCAGAUAAUUGCAAAUAUAGCUACACGAAGAAACCCCAUCAUUACACGAUCAUAUAAUCAAGUUUUGAGAAAUAAUGUAAACAUGAGUACACAUCCUGAAUCGUCCGAUAGGUCUGCAACAACGCCAACAGGCGACCUUGCAAAUCUGGGAGCUCAAUUGAACGAAGUGUUAAACAAAGUCGAUGAGUUAAGUAUGGAGGUGACCGCACAACGGCGCGUAAUUGAUCAGUUGGUUGCUAGUAGCAGCAAUGGUGUUCAGCAUGAUUCCUUACCUGCUAGUCAACCUCCUUCCUCAAACCCUUACCCAUAUUACUCAAAUCCACGCCCUGUUUACCAUACAACUAUCAAUCACCCUCGACCUCUGCCAAACUAUACAAACCCACCUAUACUACCCGUCCCAAUUUUUUAACUCAAUCUUCAAACUCGAUCUCGCCCUUAUUAUAAUCCAAGACCUGCUCAACCAAACAACCGAACUUAUCCUCUAAAUAAUAAAAUUCGAAACCCAAUCCCAUAUCGAAUCUUCACCAACCUGGACCAACCCAUUGAUCAAUUGUACGAACAACUCAAAACUGCCGGAAAAAUUGGUGUUAUGCCUCCCAAGAUCUAUCCUAAGGGUUUUCCCUCUGGCUAUGACCCUCAAGCCAUCUGCGCUUAUCAUUUCGGAGCUUUCGGGCAUCCCACCAAUAAUUGCUGGGUAUUGAAACAUAAAAUCCAAGAUAUGAUUGAAGCAGGAGAUAUAGUGCUAAGAAAAAGAGGAGAACAAGGACCGAGAAUAAGUAUGAAUCCCUUUCCCGAACACAAGGACACAUUUGAGCCAUUUACCCCCAAUAAGGAAACUUGAAAAUCUCAAACUAGUGAGAUCCCUCCCUCUUGAAGGGAGUUUCGAUAAAUUUGGGGAGUUGUCUUUGGUUAAAAUCGAUGAAAAUCAUUCAUGCGUGUGUCUUUUGUUUAACUAUGUAUUUGUAAAUAGUUUUGAAUCAAGUGGCUUUUAAAGACACGUCUUAUUUAAAAAGUAACAUGUUAUUAAGUUUGGUCUUUAUCUUGAAAUUCAAUAAACUGUACAGUUUUUUUAUAUAUACUGUGUUACUUACGCAUUCUUUUCAGAUGGCCAAGAAUAAAAUCCUCUGACCCUUUGGAUAUCACUGUUCCAAAAUUUGAUGACAGCAAUCUCGAUAUCUCACGAAUAUGGAAUUGGAAAUUCAAGACAAGAACGAUAACGAGAAAGAAUCUGAGUCUUUGUUAAAGAAUCUUGAACAGUAUGAAAAGAAAUCCAAACCGAGUUUAGAAGAAACAGAAAUCAUUAAUAUUGGCAUUGGGGUCAACGUCAAGGAAAUAAAAAUUAGUAUUCAUUUGAAUGAGAAGUAGAAAGAGUGUUACAAUAAGAAGAGCAAGCCACGACUAUUCGAAGAAGGAGACAAAGUGUUGAAACAAAUUUUGCCAGUGCAACAGGAGGUUAAGGGCAAGUUUGCACCAUAUUGGCAGGGUCCUUUUAUCGUCCAGAAGGUAUUGCUUGAUGGAGCACUUGUUCUCGCAGAACUGGAUGGACAAGUUUUUCCUCAACUGAUCAAUUUGGAUAUGUGUAAGAAAUUUUUCAUUUCAUAAAUAGAAGUUUCCUUUUAGGAUUAAUGCCAAGAAUGGAAUUAAAGUCAGGCCUUUUUCCUUUCCAAUUAAAUAUUCUAUCCCUAGUUAUCCCUUUUAAAGUUUCAGAAUAAAUUAUUUCAUUUGGCAACCCCUGAGAGUCUCAAACCCCAUACUGGGGCAAGUUUGAGUUGAAAGAAAAGGAAAUGAACAAAAGAAAACCUCAAUUAAAAAUAAACUGGGACAAAUUUUGAAAAAAUUUCAAAAGAUGAAUGGAAUGAAAAAAAAAAGAAAAUGAAAAAGAACCUCGGUUGAAAAUAACUGGGGCAAUUUUAGUUUAAUCCUAAGUAGGGUUAAUAUGAAGAUGUGAUCUCAGGUGAUUUAAACACUUAUAAAAUCUGCCUUCAAGCCUUAACCUUUUCUUAGCACUUCACCUGACUACAUUACAAAAAACUGAAAGUCUUGACAUCUGUUCUUUGCAUCACCUCUUUUAAGGAAAUUUUCUAAGUCACAUGGCAAAUGAUGUCAAUACGCUUUCACCAAUUUUGCAAGGGAAGGUUUGUCGUAUUGAUGUCAUCAUUUCUUAAAACAUAUUUCUGAAUUGAUAAAGGCUAUUGGCAGGAUUUAUUCAUCAGGUGAAAACCCGAAAGGGCACCUUUGAAAAGAAAGAAAAAAGAAAAAAAAAAGAAAAAGAAAAGAAUAAAAGAAAAUGAAAAAUGAAAAUAAAAGAAAAAGGAAAUAAAAAAUGUGUGGGUAAUCUUAGUGAAGACCCGAAAGGGCACUAAGAUAGGGUUUCCCAAGUAAAGUGAGAUUGGAUUUGGAAGGCUGGUGAUUCGGUUCAUUUCGAUUCCUCUUCACAUUAUGAUUUUUCUACCGGCAUUGAAUUCCAGAUGGACGAUAUCCAAAGGGUCAAAUGUGGCAUUUUGUUCGAGAAUCAAAGUGUUUUGGUUCAUCAAACAUAAACUUUUGAGUGUACAGGUUCUUUUCUCUAAAAUCAAUUUUCUAUCAAUAAAGGUAAAUCGUUGCUUUCAUGUUACUUGAAUUUUCAUCAUUUUUGUAAAUAAAAUAAUUUUCUUGUGUUUCAUGGUCUCAUUUAUCUCUUUGGGUUUAUCAAAUGGCAAUCCCUCUGAUUUAUUGAAAGUCCCUAGAUAUCAAAUGUCAUACUUCAUUAGCGUUGGAAGUCAACGAAACAUGAUACAGUUCACAGAGCAAAGUUGAGUUUUGCAGCAUCGAGGGAAAAACAUCAAAAUACUCAUGUUUACACGUUUCUUGAAAGCUAGACGGGUCGAAUGGUGGCGGCAUUAUUUUGUCUUUCUCUUGCAGGUCCAUACGUGUUUCAAAUAACAAAAUUGGGGCAAAUUUUUUAUAUAAUUGUGAAAUGUCGCCCAAGAAUUGAAUAUUCAUGAUUCAGACCGAGGAAGAGAUGUGAAUCAAAAUCUUAAGGAGGAGCAACAAUGUCAUAAUACAAAGCGAAUGAUUGGUGGCACAAUAAUUGGUUGAAAUUGGGGCAAAUUUUUUUUGAAAAGAUUCCCUAGGUGAGUAUUCAAAAAUUUUUCCAUGCACUAACGCUUCUUUCUUAACAAAGAAAAUUUAAUUUCUUAUUGGUGAAGUUUCAGCGUCCGCCACACACCCUUCUACCUCCCUUCUUGACAAAUCAAAUUUAAUUUCUUGUUGGUGAAGUUUUAGCGUCCGCCGCGCGCCUUUCUACCCCCUUCUUCACAAAUCAAAUUUAAUUUCAUGUUGGUGAAGUCUCAGCGUCCGUCGCGCAUCCUUCUACCCCCCUUCUUGACAAAUCAAAUUCAAUUUCUUGUUGGUGACAAAUCAAAUUUAAUUUCUUGUUGGUGAAGUCUCACCGUCCGCCGUGCACCCUUCCACCCCCCUUCUUGACAAAUCAGAUUAAGUUUCUUAUUGGUGAGUUUCAGUGUCCUCCGCACACCCUUCUACCCCCUUCUUGACAAUGCAAUUUCUACCUAUGUUCAAUUUUAUGGCAGGAUCGGGUUUUAUCCCACCGACCGAUAGUAUGACAGGAUCGGGUAUUAUCCCACUGACCAAUUUGAUGGCAAGAUCGGUUAUUAUCCCACUGACCGAUGUUAUAGUAGGCUCGGAUUUUAUCCCACUAACCUUUUUGUGUUUCAGUUUACGGCAGAAUAAUUACAGGUAAGUAUUUGGUGUCUACGUCUUUAUCUCGAAUCUCUUCAAAACUCAGACAAAGAGGAGCAAGCUGUAGACACCAAAAUUUCAAUUCGAUUUAGUUAAAUUUUAGCUUUAUUUUUUAUUUGUUUGUUUUUUUUAUUUUUACUUUAUUUUAGUUGAUUAAGUUGGUAGUAGCAAAUUAGGUUCAUCAUUAUUUUUUUAAAAAAAAAAUUUAUUAUUAUUAUUAUUAUUAUCAAAUUUCUAAAAAAAAAAGAAGAAGAAGAAAAUUCCCAAUAAAAAUCCAUUUUUAUCUUUUUCAAACUCAAUUUUUUUCUAAAUAAAAUGACAUUUUGUAAGGUAAUUAGAAAUUAGCAUUUUAUUUAUUAUAAAUUUUGAAAAUAAAAAUACAAAAUACAAAAUAAUAUGUAGCACACAUGCAAUAGGACCAAGCGGAGACCAUGCAAACUAGCUAGGUGGGGGGCAAGACAAUGGACAAGUGUUUCUUUAUUUCUUUGACACUAUAACAUCUAGAUGAUAGGUGGCUAGGAUACUUGGAAGCCUAGGAAAAAUUGAAAAAAAAACAAAACAAAAGGAAAAGGAAAACCACGGGCAAAAGGCAAGGGAAAUCAGCGAGGGUCUAGAAGAAAAAAAGAAGAAAGGGUUUCGGAGGGGUUGGUAGAGAGAAACCGAGAGAGGAGGAAGAGAGUUUGAGGGGAGAGGAGGAAAAAAGGAGAAAACAAGCAAGAGGGUUGGAAGGGAAGGUUGCGAGGAAGAGCAAGAGAGAGUCUGGGGCUGAGGGAGAGAAAGAAAGCAAAAGAAAAGAGAGAGGCUUCGCGGAGAAGAAAACAGCUACAGGCAGGUUGAAUCGAAGCUCAAAAUGACGAACGCGUCACUACUGGAAAUUGGUGCAACAAAGAAAAGAGGGUUUUCUGACUUCCUUCCAUAGAUCUGCACAGCUUCCAUCGAUUUCCCAGGGUUUUGUCUCUGUAAGUAUAUCAUUUAAGCCAUAUUCUGAACCUUUUGAGGCUUACCAGAUGUGAAUCUUUGCUAUGGAUAAGCUCUUGUUGGUACCACUGCUUUUACCUCUUGUUUGGUGGAUGAUUUCUGAUUUUGGUAGGGGUCUUUGGGAUGAAUUUUGUAAGGAAACGGGUUUGGGGUUUUCUAUAGAUUUUUUAUCUGAUGAAUCCGUGGGGUUUUGCUUGAGUCAUGGCUGGUUUUGUGAUUGAAAAUGAUAAACCCAGAAAAUUGCAGAAAUUUCUUGUUGAAGAUUUGCAUGCUUGGAUGAUCGAAUUUCUGUCUUUGUUGCUUAAGAUCCAAGUUUGAUGCUUGAUUGAGGCUCUAGUUGUGUUUAGCAAAGAGAACUUGCAUCAUAAAUCCGCGGAGUUGCAGAAAACGAAGAAACCAGAGAAGAAGAUGAAAACUUGCGAGCCAUUUGCAUGAAAGUUCCAAAACAUUACAUUUUGGCCCCAAAAUUUUGGCUGAAUACUACUAUAGCCCAGAAAAUUGGAAAAAUUAAUCAAUCUUGUCCCUUCAAAACAUUAUUUUUCCUUGGCUUGUUUUUAUGUGAUUUUUAGAUAGAUUAUUGGUGAAUUUAUCGGAUGAAUUUUGAAGUUUAACAAUUUUUGAUAGAUUUAUAGCUUUUGAUUUGGAUUUUUGUAAAAAUGGUUUAGACUUGGAUAAUAUUUUUUGUUUGGGGUUUGGUGAGAG
This 37444-nucleotide long non-coding RNA is filed under the name Coffea arabica (coffee). RNAcentral's name for it is "long non-coding RNA (CARA_LNC005459)". The record is from RNAcentral. Lineage: Eukaryota; Viridiplantae; Streptophyta; Magnoliopsida; Gentianales; Rubiaceae.